Long non-coding RNA from Cygnus olor (mute swan), 3986 nucleotides. RefSeq lists it as uncharacterized. The transcript is spliced from 2 exons. The record is from RefSeq and is a predicted model, not a curated record. NCBI's taxonomy places the organism in Eukaryota, Metazoa, Chordata, Aves, Anseriformes, Anatidae.
UUCCAACCCGGUUCUCCCAGGUGUGUGAGAGGCGCUGCCUGAGGCGGGCAGCAGCCCACGGCGCUGCGUGUGAGGGGAGGGCGGGCGCGCAGCUUCUUGCUGUGAGAGGAAACGAUCGUGGGACGGUGGCACCUAAAAUCUAUCUGUUUGUGCAAAUAUGAAUCAGAAACUUGAGUCAGAAGUGAAAUUACAUUGAUCUCAAGAUGGAUUUUACCUUGUAAACACAGUGUGCAACGGAAAGUGAAGCUGUCAACUGCACUGGCACAGGAGCAGCAGUUAGAAAAACCAGCUUGCUACUGAGGAAAGUGCAUCAGUUGUAGAGGACAGAAACCUGCAGGGAAACAAGUGACAUCCGGUAUAUCGUCAGUCUGGUGUAAAUGCAAAGGGUGAAGAAGACAAUGACUAUUUUUACAUCUAUGCUAAAACCCAACUGAAUGGAUUUUUUUUUUCUUCAGUUUUACUUGUAAAAGUGGUGUUCAGUUUGGAAGUCUUGUUUGCAUAUUGAUUUGCAUGUCUAUAGUUGGUUAAUUUUUACUUAUAUCUUUUUAUGAAAACAGCUAUUUAUGUAGUGUUAGUGUCUCUAUAUAAGUAACACUUUGUACAAUUUCAGUUCAAGGUGACAUCUUGAGUAUGUACAUUACUCCAUAUUCCUUUUAUUAUUAUGUCUGCAAACACCCACAAAAGACAGAAAAUGGAUUUUACAUUUUAUCCAUUGGUCUGCUAAUACCCAGAAAGCCAAAUUUCGAAGUUAUUAAAAAAGAAAAGUGUUCUCUAAAAUAAUCUUUUCUAUGCAGAAUUGCAAUUUCCUUUCCUAUUUACAGCUCUUUUUUUUUUUUUUGAAAACGCUUUUGAAGGAAAAGAAUUCUUACUGUCAUUGUCAGUUUCACUGGAAUAGCCUUUUGAAUAUUGGGCCACAGUUUAGCCAAGGUACUGUAAUUAUACAGUAGUAAAUAGAAUAUAUGAUAAAAUAUAAUAAUUAAAAUAGAGUAGUAACUUUAAAAUGUAUGUGUUGUUUUUUUCCCAUGCUUGCUCCAAGAAGUUAUUUAUAAAUACGAAGUAUACCAUAGUAUAAUACUUUUCAUCUGUAAUUCAUGGAUUGGAGCACUUCCUGGCCGCACAGUACUAGUCAUUGUUUCUAUAUGCUAAACACACAGAUGAACUUCCUUACUGUCUGAGAGUUCAGAAACAAUAGUCACUGAAAAACUGUGGCUAAAAUAUAAUGUGCAAUAUAAUAUGCCAAAUUAAAUGGGUUUGUCUCAUGUUACCAAAGCUGGAAUGAAAUAGGAAAAAAAUUUAAUAAAAUGUGUGGGAUUUCUUCAAGUAAAAGCAAAGAAAACAUGAUAAUUAAAAAUUAAAAAAAAAAUCAGGAAAAGAGUAUUCUUUCAGAUACUGGCUUUACCAUUUUCCAGAAACAGAUAUAAAACAGGCCAAUUCAGGCAAUAUCUGUUUUCCCUCUGUGCAUCUCCUCAUCUUAUGAAGACUCUUCUGCGAGCUCAGUGGGAAGGGGUGUGGAGAAUGAAGACAGGCAGCGGGAUGGGGAAGAAGCUCCAGGGCAGAAAGGAGAUGUUGUAGGUAUGGGAUCCAACACGCUGUGUUGUCACUGCCAGCAUGGGCAGUGUGGCAGGGUGCUUCACAGUACAGGCAUCCUGCAUGUGCCUGAGGACUGCACGCAAAGACCCCAGUGUGGAAGGCCUGGAAUUGAAGGUGACAGUCUAAUUGUCCCAUAUCUGCCUGGUGCCUUGUGAAGAGGAAUUCAGACCACGAAGGAAAAACACCACUGAAACAAACAUGGGAGUUGCAGCCCUGUGCCUUCCCACAUAAGUCCCUAGUGUUCAGGCAGUCCAUUUGUCACUGCUGGAAGGAUAUGUCUGUUUUCCUGCUGGGGUAACAGGAAAAGGAAUGGCACGUUUGGUAGCUGUAAACUUGCUGGCAGGAAGGCGUGAGAUCUUCCACUGACAAGUCAUCUGUGCUGUUACCUGAAUGGAGCGUAGGCCCUGUGGUCAUGCCAGAAACAACGCAUUCCUCUAUGAUCCUCCUGGGUGCAGUGUCGUGGGAGCAGUGUCAUGGGAAUGGUGUCCCUUGUUAUCAAUACAGGAUGUUCUUGUAACCCUUGUUCUGCUGCUUCUUUCAGUGCUUUCUCACACGUGCACACUUCCAUCCCUACAACAUUCCUGCCAAUCUUUGUAUUUCUGUUAAGAAUCUCUCCGCAAGGACUGGCCUGGCUGGAUUGCUAUGGAUGUAGUUUGGGAGAAGAGCUGGUGUCCUAAAAGAGAUAUUCUGUUCCAUCCCUGGGGGACUUUGCAUAUAUGAAGUUUUCCAUAUGCCCAAAUUAGCUUUGAUCAAUGACCAGCAUUGAAACAAGCCUCAGCUUCUCCCUCUGUGGCAGAACCCCAAAACUAGAAAGCUUCAGGAGAGCCACACAGUGUCUCCAGUGCUAUAUGGCCAUAGGUGGAGAUAUGAUCCUUCUGAACAGGAUGGCUUCUGCCUACAGGUUGGGGUAGGACGAGUAUUCUGAACCUGAUCAUGAAAAUGUCAACUUGCAAAAGUUAUAAUUUGUCAAAAAAAAAGUAUGUGGGGAGCAUAUCAUUGUGCUGAGAAGCUUCAGUGCUGGCCUUAUGAACACAGCUUUGCUUCCUUGUGAGUAUCUCUACCUACAAGCCAAAGCUCUUUGAAAGCCAUUGAAAUUCCACUGCCAUAAAAUCUUGAGGGGUAAAUAGCACACUACCUGCUUGCAAGUUGCAACUGUCCAUGCUCAACGAAGUCUGUCAUUCCUGACAGGAGAAAGAGAUUUUGCUCCAUGAAGCUUUCAUAAAAGCUAAUAAGCCAGUAAGUGGGCACUUUUCCUUGGAAACUCUCCAAACUCCUUCAUGUACUAGGGUUUCUUUAAGCAGAUGUUGUCUUUUCUGGCAUUCAUUUUUCAGAAGUUUGGUGCCAGAUCCUGUUUAAGCCACGAAAAAAAAAAAAAUCUGUAAAGCUGUGUACAAAGGUAUCUAUGGGGAUGUCACUAUAAAAAAAAAUAAAAAAUAAAAAAUAAAACAUUAUGAUGGAGGCCCAUGCAGAAAUCUCAGAAGAGAAACACAAGACUGAAAAGGCAUGUAAGUAAACUCUGAAAAAUAUUUUGACAGAGAACUGAGAGACUUCUGCUUUUAGAAGGUGCACUCCUGACUGAAAUACACAAGAAAUGUGUAUCUUAAGUGUUUCAUAGAGAUCAAUGUUUUUUGUUUGUUUUCAUUUUGUAUUUCCAUACAAAAAACAGCCCUUAUUAUUUAUAUCAGAAAUAACAAAAUUGUCCUCACCAAACUACCAGUAGAUUCUUGCUUUGCGGUAUUAUUUCCUCCAUUUUGUUUCGUAGGGGCUCAGGAAUCACAGCAGUCAAAUAUUUUUUCUCUAGAACUGCAUUUUUAACAAUAUUCCAGAAAGACUACUUCUUAUAUGAUGUGUUGAUAGCAACACGUAAGUGCUAAGAAUAAGUAGAAGCUGAACCUAUGUUACAAUGUCUUAAGAACUAAAGAAAUGUCUGUUCUAAAGCAGACUGAAAAUUGCUGUCUUCAGAGGCAUUUGCACAGCCAUUUGUCACUGUGGAUGAGGAAGCAAUCUUCAAUGGGAUUAAGGUUUCUUGAACUUUAAAGAAGUGGCCAAUCCUUCAUCAAAUAUAAACACAGAGCAAGCUUUGAGCAGACUCUUGUAAAUGCAUUCUUUUUGGUGCCUCUUUUAACAAAAGAAAAUAAAUCAAUAAUUUGCUGUAUAAACCUUACUCUGUGGUUCAAGUUAAUUUCCCACUGUUCUUUUCUAGAAAUCUAUUUCUGUAGAAAAGUUCCAAGGUUCCUAGCAUUACAGAAUAAGAACAGGAAAAGCAUUUGCCUUUUUUCAGACCUGCACAUGCAAGUGUUAUAUGCUAAGGUUAGUCAUAUGUUUAACUAUCUCUACAAGAGUAAAAUAUUGGCCUAUUUUGCUCUCAGAUCUGUUAGGAAAAAAAAAAACAACAA